This is a long non-coding RNA of Populus nigra (black poplar), 1233 nucleotides long. RefSeq lists it as uncharacterized. The transcript has 2 exons. Lineage: Eukaryota; Viridiplantae; Streptophyta; Magnoliopsida; Malpighiales; Salicaceae. The record is from RefSeq and is a predicted model, not a curated record.
GAUCCAGUCGAAAUACAUGAAAGCUUGGUUAUAGAAUAAUCUCAACGAUUAAAAAGAAAAGCAUUGGAUUCUUCACGAGUGGUGCCUCUUUGCUAGGUCAAAGUGGCCAAAUCUAUCUCCCCUAAUUACAUGUAUAUAGUAUUAAGGCAACAGCCAUUCUCACGCUGCAACAAAAUUAAAUACAAUGUUCAUGUCCUUGAUUCUGACUUCUGAACAAAAAACAAUCAAAUCGCCUAGUCAAUAUAAAUGUACCUCCAUUAACAAACAAGGCAUGUAGAGACAUUUAUCAAAGAAGCGAGGAAGUUAGAUGGUAAUAACAGACUCUCCUUGCAGCAGGUUGUUGUCUUCCAAUGAUGUAGAUCAUUACAGGGAAGAGAGGAGUAUGGAACAUGCCGGCGUGACAAUGAGGGCAUGGGAACCCAUUGAAAGGGUGGCUAGAAGAUUUACGAGAAGAAAGAUAAAGUUAGUGGUGGGAAUGGGGAGGAGGGCGGUCUUGGCUUGUGUUGUGAAGCUAAAGAGGAAGGUUUGCAGGAUCUUGAAUGCAAAAAACAGAAGCAGCAACGAAAGGCAUGUGUUUUUGAACUAUGAUAUGUGCAGUUAUACAAAGAACUUCGAUGAUGGAAAGUGGCAGCAGGAGGAGGUUGAGUAUUAUAGGACUCGAUCUUUUGCUUUUAGAUCGAUCCCUUGAUCAAACACCUUUUUAUUUGUCUGGGCACCAUUCAACAACAUUUGCAAAGAUGGAUUACUUUGUCGAUCACGUACUAAUGUGACUGCGAUCAACGUAGAAUGAUGGUGCUAAUCUUGCAUUUGAAAUUAUGGCCUAGCUUGUCGCGCGGUUCCUGUUCCAGAGACUACUACCUCUGUGGCAUGAAAUAGUGGCACAUGAUUCCUAAGAAGAAACACCUGUAGUUUAAACUUCGAGUUUUAAUUCUAAGGCUUUGAAUUCAAAUGAUUUUUUUUUUCACAAGUGGAAUGGUUGGUAGUUUAAUGGUAACUGGUAGGGACCAACUCAAACAUCACAAAAGUUAAGGGACCAUACUACCAUUUCAAAAGUAUGAGAUAUCGAGGCAAGCCGAAUCUCCUCGAGACGACUCCCUCUCCGGUUGGGUAAUUGGAAGUCCUUGUACGUAGCCUGCCUGGAUUCACCCAGUGCAAUUUUUUUUCAUGUUACUUUUUUUUAUCCUUUUGUAUUGAUUUGUUUCAUGAUUGGCCUUGGCAUUUUAAUUUCCUCAA